This 694-nucleotide long non-coding RNA is filed under the name Scophthalmus maximus (turbot). Its description in RNAcentral is "lncRNA (ENSSMAG00000036969.1)". The record is from RNAcentral. Lineage: Eukaryota; Metazoa; Chordata; Actinopteri; Pleuronectiformes; Scophthalmidae.
CAAGACUUCCGAGCUUUGCAUAAAACAGAAAGGGACAGGCAGUGGGAAUGUUUCCUGUUUGCCACAGAACAGGUUUGGCAGUGGCUGAGGGAGAAGCAGUUCUAUGGAAAGCGGCAACGGACACUUUUCCUCUGUGAAAAAAAUGGACCCUUUCAAAGGACCUUGUCCUCAUCAGAGUGCUCCUGUUGAGACUGAUGAGAGCAUGACAUCCUCCAGUCUGGACUUGGUCUGGCCUCCUUCUUGUAAACAGUGCACACGCCAAGCAGAGACCAGCAACAGGCCACAGAACCAUGACUGUGAGCCAAUCAGGGGAGCAGUCAAAGCCGGACAGAGGAGACUCGCUGAGAGCUGCUACCAGCAAGAAUCCAGAGCAGACUGCAGUGCUGCUCCGGAACCUUGCUUUACACCCCAAAAGCACUCGGGACACAUGACACCCCCCCGCCCUGCAGGUGUCUGGCCUCAUGGCCUCAGAGAUCAGGCACCGCAGUAUGAAUGGGCGCACAGCGUUAACCACAGUAGAGGCUUUGCAGGCCCUUCAAACUGGUCCAAGGGCUGCUCCGUGGAGGAGGCAGAAUGCUUGGAAGUCCCUUUGCCGCUCAUGUCUGCAGCAGAGGGCCACUACCCCUACUUUGUCCCAUCCCAAUUCCCUGCAGCCCAAAGGCCUGCUCUGUGUAAGUGCUCAAUUAUCAAUUGA